RNAcentral lists this transfer RNA (67 nucleotides) under Marmota monax (woodchuck). RNAcentral describes it as "tRNA.Pro". The record is from RNAcentral. Lineage: Eukaryota; Metazoa; Chordata; Mammalia; Rodentia; Sciuridae.
GCUGGGUAGUUUAGUGGUACAGUACUUGCUCAGGAUGAAUGAGACCUGGGUUCAAUCCCCAGCAUCA